This 258-nucleotide ribosomal RNA is filed under the name uncultured bacterium. RNAcentral describes it as "partial 16S ribosomal RNA". It matches the Rfam family "Bacterial small subunit ribosomal RNA", at positions 524 to 776 of the family's 1533-position model. The record is from RNAcentral.
UACGUAGGGCGCAAGCGUUGUCCGGAAUUAUUGGGCGUAAAAGAGCUCGUAGGCGGUUUUGUCGCGUCUGCUGUGAAAACUGGAGGCUCAACCUCCAGCCUGCAGUGGGUACGGGCAAACUAGAGUGUGGUAGGGGAGACUGGAAUUCCUGGUGUAGCGGUGAAAAUGCGCAGAUAUCAGGAGGAACACCGAUGGCGAAGGCAGGUCUCUGGGCCGAUAUCGACGCUGAGGAGCGAAAAGCGUGGGGGAGCGAACAGG